CGCAUCUGUGCAUGCAGCAUAUCAAUAAGCGGAGGAAAAGAAACUAACAAGGAUUCCCCUAGUAACGGCGAGUGAAGCGGGAAGAGCUCAAAUUUGAAAUCUUAAAGGGUUUCCCUUUACGAAUUGUAGUUUAAAGAAGUGUUUUCUGUUGAGGUUUUGGUAAAAGUUCUUUGGAAUAGGACAUCAUAGAGGGUGAGAAUCCCGUAUUUGACCUUUACUUUCAACUUUGCGAUACACUUUCAAAGAGUCGGAUUGUUUGGGAAUGCAGUCCAAAAUGGGUGGUAAAUUUCAUCUAAAGCUAAAUAUUGGCGAGAGACCGAUAGCGAACAAGUACCGUGAGGGAAAGGUGAAAAGAACUUUGAAAAGAGAGUUAAACAGUACGUGAAAUUGUCAAAAGGGAGGCGUUUGACACCAGUGUUGUUUUUCUGAAAAUCAAUUAAAGAACUGUUUAUGCUAAGUUGUUUAGACUUUAUCAGCUAACUGUUUAGUUUUGAGCUUUUCUUUAAUGCACUUUUCAGUUAACAAGUCAACAUCAAUUUCUUUUGCUGUAAAAAAGCUUGAGGAAGGUGGCUUGAGAUUCGUCUUAAGCGUUUAUAGCCUCUUGCCUAUGCAGUCGGAGAGAUUGAGGUCUGCAGCGUAGAUCCUUCGGGGCUAAAUGCAUUUGUGCUAAGUUAUAGCAUUUUAUAGACAACUUGUUGACUAUGAUUUGUCUUGUAGCUUACUCGCUUAUGUUAUUUUACCUACGCUUAGGAUGUUGACAGCAGUAUAGACUGU
RNAcentral lists this ribosomal RNA (774 nucleotides) under uncultured Neocallimastigales. RNAcentral's name for it is "partial large subunit ribosomal RNA". It matches the Rfam family "Eukaryotic large subunit ribosomal RNA", at positions 26 to 637 of the family's 3401-position model. The record is from RNAcentral. Lineage: Eukaryota; Fungi; Neocallimastigomycota; Neocallimastigomycetes; Neocallimastigales.